UGCCCAGGGCUACACACGUGCUACAAUGGAUCGUACAAAGGGUAGCCAACCCGCGAGGGGGAGCCAAUCCCAGAAACCGGUCCUCAGUUCGGAUUGGAGUCUGCAACUCGACUCCAUGAAGUUGGAAUCGCUAGUAAUCCCGGAUCAGCAUGCC
This 154-nucleotide ribosomal RNA is filed under the name uncultured bacterium. Its description in RNAcentral is "partial 16S ribosomal RNA". It matches the Rfam family "Bacterial small subunit ribosomal RNA", at positions 1205 to 1358 of the family's 1533-position model. The record is from RNAcentral.